Molecule: ribosomal RNA, 481 nt
Filed under: uncultured bacterium
Lineage: Bacteria
Description: bacterial SSU rRNA
Rfam family: Bacterial small subunit ribosomal RNA
Source: RNAcentral
AACGAACGCUGGCGGCGUGGAUUAGGCAUGCAAGUCGAACGAGAAAGGUUCCUUCGGGAACCGAGUACAGUGGCAAACGGGUGAGUAACGCGUGGGAAACCUGCCCUCUGGUUGGGGACAACACCUCUAACGGGGUGCUAAUACCGAAUAUGAUCGCGAAAUCGCAUGGUUUCGUGAUUAAAGGCGGCCUCUACUUGUAAGCUAUCGCCAGAGGAUGGUCCCGCGUCCCAUUAGUUAGUUGGUGAGGUAACGGCCCACCAAGACGAAGAUGGGUAGCCGGCCUUAGCGGGUGACCGGCCACACUGGGACUGAGAUACGGCCCAGACUCCUACGGGAGGCAGCAGUCGAGAGGCAUCCACAAUGGGGGAAACCCUGAUGGUGCGACGCCGCGUGGGUGAUGAAGGUCUUCGGAUCGUAAAGCCCUUUCAGCAAGGACGAUAGGAUAGAUUGUUAAUAGCAUUCGAUCUCAGACGGUACUGCA